CAAACAGGAUUAGAUACCCUGGUAGUCCACGCUGUAAACGAUGUCGAUUUGGAGUUUGGUGGCAUGACUGCUGGGCUCCGAAGCUAACGCGUUAAGUCGACCGCCUGGGGAGUACGGCCGCAAGGUUAAAACUCAAAUGAAUUGACGGGGGCCCGCACAAGCGGUGGAGCAUGUGGUUUAAUUCGAUGCAACGCGAAGAACCUUACCUGGUCUUGACAUCCACAGAAUUUUGUAGAGAUACGAAAGUGCCUUAGGGAGCUGUGAGACAGGUGCUGCACGGCUGUCGUCAGCUCGUGUUGUGAAAUGUUGGGUUAAGUCCCGCAACGAGCGCAACCCUUAUCCUUUGUUGCCAUCGGUUAGGCCGGGAACUCAAAGGAGACUGCCGUUGAUAAAGCGGAGGAAGGUGGGGACGACGUCAAGUCAUCAUGGCCCUUACGACCAGGGCUACACACGUGCUACAAUGGCGCAUACAAAGAGAAGCAAACCAGCGAUGGCAAGCGGACCUCAUAAAGUGCGUCUAAGUUCGGAUUGGAGUCUGCAACUCGACUCCAUGAAGUCGGAAUCGCUAGUAAUCGUGAAUCAGAAUGUCACGGUGAAUACGUUCCCGGGCCUUGUACACACCGCCCGUCACACCAUGGGAGUGGGUUGCACCAGAAGUAGAUAGCUUAACCCUU
This 674-nucleotide ribosomal RNA is filed under the name uncultured bacterium. Its description in RNAcentral is "bacterial SSU rRNA". It matches the Rfam family "Bacterial small subunit ribosomal RNA", at positions 769 to 1443 of the family's 1533-position model. The record is from RNAcentral.